UUGGGUUGUAAACCCCUUUUCUCGGGGAAGAAGAAAGUGACGGUACCUGAGGAAUCAGCCUCGGCUAACUCCGUGCCAGCAGCCGCGGUAAUACGGAGGAGGCAAGCGUUAUCCGGAAUGAUUGGGCGUAAAGCGUCCGCAGGUGGCUGGUCAAGUCUGCUGUUAAAUCCAGUAGCUUAACUACUGAGGGGCAGUGGAAACUGACGAGCUAGAGUGCGGUAGGGGCAGAGGGAAUUCCUGGUGUAGCGGUGAAAUGCGUAGAGAUCAGGAAGAACACCGGUGGCGAAAGCGCUCUGCUGGGCCGCAACUGACACUCAGGGACGAAAGCUAGGGGAGCGAAUGGGAUUAGAUACCCCAGUAGUCCUAGCUGUAAACGAUGGAGACUAGGUGUUGCCUGUAUCGACCCGGGCAGUGCCGUAGCUAACGCGUUAAGUCUCCCGCCUGGGGAGUACGCACGCAAGUGUGAAACUCAAAGGAAUUGACGGGGGCCCGCACAAGCGGUGGAGUAUGUGGUUUAAUUCGAUGCAACGCGAAGAACCUUACCAGGGCUUGACAUGUCCGGAACUCUGGGGAAACUCGGAGGUGCCUUCGGGAGCCGGAACACAGGUGGUGCAUGGCUGUCGUCAGCUCGUGUCGUGAGAUGUUGGGUUAAGUCCCGCAACGAGCGCAACCCUCGUUAUUAGUUGCCAGCAUUAAGUUGGGCACUUUAGGGAGACUGCCGGUGACAAACCGGAGGAAGGUGGGGAUGACGUCAAGUCAUCAUGCCCCUUACGUCCUGGGCGACACACGUAAUACAAUGGGAAGGACAAAGGGCAGCCAACUUGCGAAAGAGAGCUAAUCCCAGAAACCUUUCCUCAGUUCAGAUUGCAGGCUGCAACUCGCCUGCAUGAAGGAGGAAUCGCUAGUAAUCGCAGGUCAGCAUACUGCGGUGAAUCCGUUCCCGGGCCUUGUACACACCGCCCGUCACACCAUGGAAGUUAACCAUGCCCGAAGUCAUUACUCUAACCCUUAAGGGAGGGGAAUGCCGAAGGCAGGG
RNAcentral lists this ribosomal RNA (1036 nucleotides) under Neolyngbya arenicola BLCC-M60. RNAcentral describes it as "bacterial SSU rRNA". It matches the Rfam family "Bacterial small subunit ribosomal RNA", at positions 418 to 1467 of the family's 1533-position model. Lineage: Bacteria; Bacillati; Cyanobacteriota; Cyanophyceae; Oscillatoriales; Sirenicapillariaceae. The record is from RNAcentral.